CGGACACCUUUGGAUCUCUGAAAUAAAUUUUGAGAUAUCUCAGAAUACCCCUGUGCAUAUCUUAAGAUUUCUGAAAUGUCAUAUAAGGACUGAAUUGGAAGUGGAAGGUGGCUGACUGUAAGCUGAAAUGUGUUACCUAAGAAUCCUGAGCCCUUGAGAUUCAGAUUUAGCAACUCCUUGCCAGACAGAAAUAACUUGGGGAUCUUAAAGCUCACCUGCAAAAAGUUACCUCCUUUGAAGCUGAGAUUGAGGCAACGUCUCUGCACAUGUCUACAUCAACCCCACGGCGUGUCACCUGCUCACUAGGCAAAUGCACAAGUUCGAGACAUCACACGAACAGCACCAACAGUCUUUGAGAAGGACAAGUACAGGGCUAUAGGAACUGUCGUAUUCCAUACAGGCAUAAAUAACAAUAAAUAUUGACAGUUGGAGGUUUUAAAGGUGGACUUCACAGCACUAAUCCAAGCCACGAAAGAGAGAACCCCAGCUGCAGGAAUCAUCAUUUCAGGUCCUUUGCUGUUGGUUAUUAGGUCGAGUGAAGCCUACAGUCGACUAUUGUCCUUAAACAAUUGCUUGAAGGUCUUAUUCAAGAGAUGAAACAUCAGCUGCGUGGACAACUGGGAUCUUUUCUGGGAAAGACUGUUUCUUCAGAUGAGAUGGUCUGCACCCUGACACAUUCAGCGCCCGGGUCCUCUCCGACGACAUCUCAAAGGUCAUCUGUGGUGGCAAUCUGUGCCACCAACACCUGAUCAAGGCAGAAUGGUAAGAAGAUGGAAUGAGGGCAGAUGUUUCAGCUGUUUAUGAAAUCAUCUUUAUCAAAUCCUAUCAUGUGAAGCAUGAAAAGCUAGAGGUUUGAUUUAGGAACAUUUUUAUUAAGUAAAAUGACUUGG
This is a long non-coding RNA of Polypterus senegalus (gray bichir), 890 nucleotides long. RefSeq lists it as uncharacterized. The record is from RefSeq and is a predicted model, not a curated record. NCBI's taxonomy places the organism in Eukaryota, Metazoa, Chordata, Cladistia, Polypteriformes, Polypteridae. The transcript is spliced from 4 exons.